UGAGUAGGCGGUAAUAUGUGUCAGAUGUAAAAGGCUAUGGCUUAACCAUAGUUGGCAUUUGAAACUGUAUUACUUGAGUGCAGGAGAGGUAAGUGGAAUUCCUAGUGUAGCGGUGAAAUGCGUAGAUAUUAGGAGGAACACCAGUGGCGAAGGCGACUUACUGGACUGUAGCUGACGCUGAGUCACGAAAGCGUGGGUAGCAAACA
RNAcentral lists this ribosomal RNA (206 nucleotides) under uncultured Sedimentibacter sp. RNAcentral describes it as "partial 16S ribosomal RNA". It matches the Rfam family "Bacterial small subunit ribosomal RNA", at positions 568 to 774 of the family's 1533-position model. Lineage: Bacteria; Bacillati; Bacillota; Tissierellia. The record is from RNAcentral.